CACCUCGCCAAAUUAGUCUGUGACUUCACCUUCCUCUUUGCCAUUCGCGACUGCCCCAAACCCUUCGCGCUCCACCAAGCUUCCUCUCUGCUGCUGCCCUUCGCCUCCCUUUCCCUUUUGCUGAACAAAAUGCUUCCGCCACUAUCUACAGUCUCCUCUCCGUUAACGAGUAUCGGCUUAUCGUCAGGUCCAAACGGACACUCGUCACUGCCCUCCUAGUCUCUUCUACGAACCCCUCUCUGUCAAAAUCCUCUACCCUCUCUGCCGAAUCCCUCCACCGACUCCCUCUCUGCUGAACAUCUCCAGCCAACCCAUCUUCGCCGACUCCCUCUCCGGUAAACAUCUUUGGCCAACCUAUCUUCGCCGACUCCUCUCCGCUAAGCAUCUUCGUCCAACUCCUCUCUGCUAAACCUCUCCGCCAAAUCCCUCUUCCGCUGAACAUCUCCGCCGAAGCAGCUUGUCUCUUUCUACCUCGUGAUCGCCGACGGCCAAACCAUCGAUGCUGUUGCAUAAUUUCUUGAGGUUAUAGGUUGUUAGCUUGAUGAGGCUGUAUAACUCCUCUAUGUCAGCAAUGAAAGUGGUGUGGUGGAGUCAUCUUUCUUGCAUUGAUGGAUUAAUGGAAUUACUAGGUGGUCUUCAACUAAACUUGUGAAAUUAGAGUAUGUUUUUGUCAAAUAUAGUUUGUGAUGACUUUUUGUUUGAAAUUUUUGUUUCUUUAGCGAGUAAAAUAUUUUUACCAGUAGUAUUUCAGUGUUAGGUGCCCUUGAAGAUGAAGUGCGAACAACUUUGCCUAUCAUAAGAUACCCUUUAUGAAGAUCCUGCUUUUUUCGAGUCUCAACCAAGUUCAGAUGUUUCCUUUGGCAUAUCAAGACCUUUUACUAUUUGGGAAUCAAGCAAGAGCAUUGUGUCAACAUCAAAUGGCACCCAUGGCAAUCUUGCUUCAUUAUAUACUCCACCUUUUGCCUUGAUGUUCCAAGAGCACUUUGACCAUGUGUAAUGAUUAUGCAAACAUCUCUUGUUGUUGUAGUUACACAAUUCACCUUUUGAUAAAUGAAUUUGUAGAAGAUUGAUUCA
Long non-coding RNA from Zingiber officinale, 1074 nucleotides. RefSeq lists it as uncharacterized. NCBI's taxonomy places the organism in Eukaryota, Viridiplantae, Streptophyta, Magnoliopsida, Zingiberales, Zingiberaceae. The transcript is spliced from 3 exons. The record is from RefSeq and is a predicted model, not a curated record.